AGUCUUGGGGUGUUAUCACGCUAGAUUGCAAAUCUGGAGAAGUAGACGAGAGUCUACCGGGGCUU
This 65-nucleotide transfer RNA is filed under the name Lepturacanthus savala (Savalani hairtail). Its description in RNAcentral is "tRNA-Cys". Lineage: Eukaryota; Metazoa; Chordata; Actinopteri; Scombriformes; Trichiuridae. The record is from RNAcentral. RNAcentral also lists the same sequence under 1 other name.